RNAcentral lists this transfer RNA (86 nucleotides) under Desmophyllum pertusum. RNAcentral's name for it is "Lophelia pertusa tRNA". It matches the Rfam family "tRNA". From Rfam's summary of the family: Transfer RNA (tRNA) molecules are approximately 80 nucleotides in length. Their secondary structure includes four short double-helical elements and three loops (D, anti-codon, and T loops). The record is from Rfam by way of RNAcentral. Lineage: Eukaryota; Metazoa; Cnidaria; Anthozoa; Scleractinia; Caryophylliidae.
CCUUCGAUAGCUCAGUUGGUAGAGCGGAGGACUGUAGAGUAUGAGAGGUCAUCCUUAGGUCGCUGGUUCAACUCCGGCUCGAAGGA